This 505-nucleotide ribosomal RNA is filed under the name uncultured bacterium. Its description in RNAcentral is "partial 16S ribosomal RNA". It matches the Rfam family "Bacterial small subunit ribosomal RNA", at positions 29 to 523 of the family's 1533-position model. The record is from RNAcentral.
AGUGAACGCUGGCGGUAGGCCUAACACAUGCAAGUCGAACGGCAGCACAGGAGAGCUUGCUCUCUGGGUGGCGAGUGGCGGACGGGUGAGGAAUACAUCGGAAUCUACUCUGUCGUGGGGGAUAACGUAGGGAAACUUACGCUAAUACCGCAUACGACCUACGGGUGAAAGCAGGGGACCUUCGGGCCUUGCGCGAUUGAAUGAGCCGAUGUCGGAUUAGCUAGUUGGCGGGGUAAAGGCCCACCAAGCAGACGAUCCGUAGCUGGGCUGAGAGGAUGAUCAGCCACACUGGAACUGAGACACGGUCCAGACUCCGACGGGAGGCAGCAGUGGGGAAUAUUGGACAAUGGGCGCAAGCCUGAUCCAGCCAUACCGCGUGGGUGAAGAAGGCCUUCGGGUUGUAAAGCCCUUUUGUUGGGAAAGAAAUCCAGCUGGCUAAUACCCGGUUGGGAUGACGGUACCAAAGAAUAAGCACCGGCUAACUUCGUGCCAGCCGCCGCCGUAA